CCUACGGGGGGCAGCAGUGGGGAAUAUUGGACAAUGGGGGGAACCCUGAUCCAGCCAUGCCGCGUGUGUGAAGAAGGCCCUCGGGUUGUAAAGCACUUUCAGUGAGGAAGAACGCCUGGUGGUUAAUACCCAUCAGGAAAGACAUCACUCACAGAAGAAGCACCGGCUAACUCCGUGCCAGCAGCCGCGGUAAUACGGAGGGUGCGAGCGUUAAUCGGAAUUACUGGGCGUAAAGCGCGCGUAGGUGGCUUGAUAAGCCGGUUGUGAAAGCCCCGGGCUCAACCUGGGAACGGCAUCCGGAACUGUCAAGCUAGAGUGCAGGAGAGGAAGGUAGAAUUCCCGGUGUAGCGGUGAAAUGCGUAGAGAUCGGGAGGAAUACCAGUGGCGAAGGCGGCCUUCUGGACUGACACUGACACUGAGGUGCGAAAGCGUGGGUAGCAAACAGGACUAGAUACCCCGGUAGUC
This 465-nucleotide ribosomal RNA is filed under the name Vreelandella stevensii. RNAcentral describes it as "partial 16S ribosomal RNA". It matches the Rfam family "Bacterial small subunit ribosomal RNA", at positions 338 to 795 of the family's 1533-position model. Lineage: Bacteria; Pseudomonadati; Pseudomonadota; Gammaproteobacteria; Oceanospirillales; Halomonadaceae. The record is from RNAcentral.